CCUCCCGCACGUACAGAUGGACACGAAUAGGCUUCGGCUUAGCGUCUUAGCAGGCGAUUACUCCACUGCUCUCGAAGCGAGUAGUGGUAUUUCGCGAAUUGUAAUUUCAGCACGAGCGGGGUUAAAUCCUUUGCAGACGACUUAGAUGUGCGAAAGGGUCCUGUAAGCAGUAGAGUAGCCUUGUUGUUACGAUCUGCUGAGGGUAAGCCCUCCUUCGCCUCGAUUUCCUCAUGAACUCCAGCGGCCGACGGCCGCGAGCACACGAGGGUUAGGGGACUGCCGCGGGCAGGGACUUGAGGGGCCGCGCCGACGAUUCGGUGCGGCCAAGUCUCGUCUCGACGACGCAAGUACCCUGGAAAGGAUAUUGCGGACGGCCGUGACGGCCAAGUGCGUGUCCGCGACGCCAGGUACCCUGGAAGGGACGCGGUCGAGGCCCGAGACGUGCAACGCAGAACGAAGUGCCCGAGUGCGCCGGGUACCCUGCAAUAGGCUUUAGAGGGCGAGGCGCCAGGUACCCCGGAAAGGGCCUGGGGUGGCCAAGUACCCUGGAGAGCGAUUCCCUAGUACCCUGGAAAGGAGAUGGAUGCUGAGCCCCCUGGAAUGGCCAAGUACCCUGGAGCAGAAUUCCCGAGUACCCCGGAAAGCGAUUCCCAAGUACCCUGGAAAGCAGUUCCCAAGUACCCUGGAGCAGAAUUCCCAGGUACCCUGGAAAGCAAUUCCUACGCACCCUGGAGCAGAAUUCCCGAGUACCCCGGAAAGCGAUUCCCAAGUACCCUGGAAAGCAAUUCCCAAGUACCCUGGAGCAGAAUUCCCAGGUACCCUGGAAAGCAAUUCCUACGCACCCUAGGGCGGAAUUCCCAGGUACCCUGGAAAGCAAUUCCUACGCACCCUAGGGCGGAAUUCCCAAGUACCCUAGGGUAGAAGCCUUAAGUACCCUAUAAAGCAGUCUUUAGGUACCUUAGAAAGGAGAUCCUAAGUGUAAAUAUUUUUUCGGUAAAUAAAAUAGACAUAGAAGUAGCUGUAGUAGAGAAGUAGUAGGAUUAGAAGCGUUACUUAUACUAAGGCCUAUAUUAUAAAACUGUUAAAUAGGGUACUAGAAAAUAAAAGAGUUAUUAAGGGACUAUACAAAGGAGGUUAGAUUAAGAGGGGAGCUUUUUCUUAAAAGGUAAGUAGUAUUCUACUUUUAUACAGUCACCUCUCUUAAUAAGGGUAGAAGAUAAGAUAGAAAUAGGCUAUCUAUACAGGUAAGGAUAUAUAGUAACGCCUACAUAGUAUAAAGAAUAGAGUGUCUAAGUAUAGUAGUAAAAGUAAAUAGUACUAAGACUAGAAUAAUAUAUACUUAUAUAUUAGAUUCUAAGACGUAUAUACAAGAGAGAAGCUUUAAUGCUUAUAGUAGACUAUAGGUUUAUAAAGAAUAGAGAUAAGUAAAGACGGAGAUAAAGGCAGACCUCUAAAGGAAAGCUACUUUAUGGAAAGGAAGUCUAGGUACCCUAGGAAGGCCAAGUACCCUGGAAAGAACGUCCUAGGUACCCUGGAAAGGCCAAGUACCCUGGAAAAAGUCCCAGGUACCCUGGAAAGGCCAAGUACCCUGGAAAAAGUCCCAGGUACCCUGGAAAGGGACUUUCUACCUUGGCGCCUAGGCUAUAAGUAGGUAGUAUAGGGCUGUAGAGCGCCUCUAGGGGAGCCUAGCGCACCAGGCCCUAUAGCUAUAGCGCCUACAGCGGGCGAGAAAACCGCUGCGGAAGUUCAAAAAACCGGCGGUUGGACUGCGGGGUGGGCGCCCGCGGGCUGCCCGGCACGGCGGGCUUAUAGAGCUCGCUGCGGCGGUUACAGCGCCGUAAGGCCCUAUACGGUAGGCACUAUAGCGCUGGAGAUACGGCGGCCCAAAGCCGCAGGUACCCUGGAAGGCAAUUGUCAAGUACCCUGGAAGGGAAAAAGAGGUGGGCCGCAGGGCGCCGCCGAGCAGCUGGUGGCGGCGACGACGUGGGCGGUCGACGGGCAUACCUGGGUUUUGCGUGCGGGAUCGGAUAAGGUUUUGGUGGCCGUGAGUCGAUUUUUUUGUUUUCCCAUACAAAUCUUUUUUUCGGGAAAUGUUUUUUCGGGACAGAAGCAGGUGGAGCGGGGCCGGGGCGCAAAAAGUGUCGCAGGGCCUAUGAGAAGAGAGCGAGUGCAGCCAACCGGCGGCACAGCGCAACUGCUCCACCCGCUGAGGGUGCGCGCUGUAGAAAUACAGCGCAACCGUCCCAUAUCUUAAUGACUGCUGCGUGGCGUCUCUCUGAACAGCCUCGCAGGUAUCUUCCUCGGUGGCGGGGAGUUCGUAGCAGCAGUCGACGCCCACUGUGGUGCACCGCUAAGGCGGCGCAUCAUCCUGGGAGUGCCCGGAGGGUUUGGGGGUCACGAGCCCCUAGACCCGAAGGAUGGGUUCUGUGGAUGAAUGGCCGUUGGCUAUACUUACACUGAGCAUCGGGAGAGAAACGCCCGCGGUCGGACGCUGAAUAGCUGAAGCCGCGGGGCCAGUUGCUCCUCUUGGGACCCCCCAACCACGCAACCCCCCCGGGGGCACAGCGCGGUGAACGGGGUCCUGGGGAAUUCAGAGGGGGAAAGCGGAAGCUUCCUCUGCGCCUACGGCCUAGCCGGACGGCCGCAGGGGGGGCGCGAGCGCUGUUUCGGCAGCGUGAGCGAUUCCGGUGACUAAAACGCUUCGGCCGCUGCUUGCAGCGCCGAUGGCCGGCUCACCCCGGCGCACGAUA
RNAcentral lists this unclassified non-coding RNA (2750 nucleotides) under Colletotrichum truncatum. RNAcentral describes it as "partial contains 26S ribosomal RNA, 26S-18S ribosomal RNA intergenic spacer, and 18S ribosomal RNA". The stretch from base 1 to 228 matches the Rfam family "Eukaryotic large subunit ribosomal RNA", at positions 3162 to 3401 of the family's 3401-position model. The record is from RNAcentral. Lineage: Eukaryota; Fungi; Ascomycota; Sordariomycetes; Glomerellales; Glomerellaceae.